AAGUCGUAACAAGGUUUCCGUAGGUGAACCUGCGGAAGGAUCAUUAGAAAAACUUAAAUUUGAUGAGUAAUCAUCAUCUUUUAUAAAAUUAAAAACUGUGAACCCUUAACUUGGCGUGUUCCAUUAUGUGGGUAACAAGUGUGGGAAUACACUUCCACGCCAAAGGAUUUUUUAAACUAUUUAUUUGAGAGAUGCUUUUUAAAUCAUGUAAUUUAAAACUUAGAGAAGCUUAAUUAAAUACAACCUUUAACAAUGGAUCUCUUGGCUCCU
This 270-nucleotide unclassified non-coding RNA is filed under the name fungal sp. RNAcentral describes it as "partial internal transcribed spacer region". The stretch from base 1 to 46 matches the Rfam family "Eukaryotic small subunit ribosomal RNA", at positions 1786 to 1831 of the family's 1831-position model. The record is from RNAcentral. Lineage: Eukaryota; Fungi.